RNAcentral lists this ribosomal RNA (205 nucleotides) under uncultured bacterium. RNAcentral describes it as "partial 16S ribosomal RNA". It matches the Rfam family "Bacterial small subunit ribosomal RNA", at positions 568 to 773 of the family's 1533-position model. The record is from RNAcentral.
CACGCAGGCGGUCUUUUAAGUUUGACGUGAAAGCUCCCGGCUUAACUGGGAGAGGUCGUUGAAGACUGGAAGACUUGAGGCAAUGAGAGGGGUGUAGAAUUCCCGGUGUAGUGGUGGAAUGCGUAGAUAUCGGGGGGAAUACCAGUGGCGAAAGCGGCACCCUAGCGUUAGCCUGACGCUCAUGUGCGAAAGCGUGGGAGCAACG